Molecule: ribosomal RNA, 435 nt
Filed under: uncultured bacterium
Lineage: Bacteria
Description: partial 16S ribosomal RNA
Rfam family: Bacterial small subunit ribosomal RNA
Source: RNAcentral
AGCGAACGCUGGCGGCAGGCUUAACACAUGCAAGUCGAACGGGCUUCUUCGGAAGUCAGUGGCAGACGGGUGAGUAACACGUGGGAACGUGCCCUUCGGUUCGGAAUAACUCAGGGAAACUUGAGCUAAUACCGGAUACGCCCUUUUGGGGAAAGGUUUACUGCCGAAGGAUCGGCCCGCGUCUGAUUAGCUUGUUGGUGGGGUAACGGCCUACCAAGGCGACGAUCAGUAGCUGGUCUGAGAGGAUGAUCAGACACACUGGGACUGAGACACGGCCCAGACUCCUACGGGAGGCAGCAGUGGGGAAUAUUGGACAAUGGGCGCAAGCCUGAUCCAGCCAUGCCGCGUGAGUGAUGAAGGCCUUAGGGUUGUAAAGCUCUUUUGUCCGGGACGAUAAUGACGGUACCGGAAGAAUAAGCCCCGGCUAACUUCGUG